This 118-nucleotide ribosomal RNA is filed under the name Pogona vitticeps (central bearded dragon). Lineage: Eukaryota; Metazoa; Chordata; Lepidosauria; Squamata; Agamidae. The record is from RNAcentral.
ACAAAGUGUCAUGUCAUCCUACACACACCAAAUCCCACCUGAUUUUGGAUGUUAAGCAGGGUCACACUGAUUAGUUCUUGGAUGGCAGAUUGCUAGGGCAUACCAGGGACAUUCAGGU